RNAcentral lists this ribosomal RNA (265 nucleotides) under uncultured bacterium. RNAcentral's name for it is "partial 16S ribosomal RNA". It matches the Rfam family "Bacterial small subunit ribosomal RNA", at positions 57 to 305 of the family's 1533-position model. The record is from RNAcentral.
GCAAGUCGAGCGAGAAGGUUUCAAAUGAUUCUUCGGAUGAAUGAGAAACUGGAGAGCGGCGGACGGGUGAGUAACGCGUGGGUAACCUGCCCUAUGGAGGGGGAUAACGUUUAGAAAUGAACGCUAAUACCGCAUAAGCAGGCAGUGUCGCAUGACACAGCUUGAAAAACUCCGGUGCCAUAGGAUGGACCCGCGUAAGAUUAGCUAGUUGGUAAGGUAAUGGCUUACCAAGGCGACGAUCUUUAGCCGACCUGAGAGGGUGAUC